Molecule: ribosomal RNA, 465 nt
Filed under: Vreelandella stevensii
Lineage: Bacteria; Pseudomonadati; Pseudomonadota; Gammaproteobacteria; Oceanospirillales; Halomonadaceae
Description: partial 16S ribosomal RNA
Rfam family: Bacterial small subunit ribosomal RNA
Source: RNAcentral
CCUACGGGGGGCUGCAGUGGGGAAUAUUGGACAAUGGGGGCAACCCUGAUCCAGCCAUGCCGCGUGUGUGAAGAAGGCCCUCGGGUUGUAAAGCACUUUCAGUGAGGAAGAACGCCUGGUGGUUAAUACCCAUCAGGAAAGACAUCACUCACAGAAGAAGCACCGGCUAACUCCGUGCCAGCAGCCGCGGUAAUACGGAGGAUGCGAGCGUUAAUCGGAAUUACUGGGCGUAAAGCGCGCGUAGGUGGCUUGAUAAGCCGGUUGUGAAAGCCCCGGGCUCAACCUGGGAACGGCAUCCGGAACUGUCAAGCUAGAGUGCAGGAGAGGAAGGUAGAAUUCCCGGUGUAGCGGUGAAAUGCGUAGAGAUCGGGAGGAAUACCAGUGGCGAAGGCGGCCUUCUGGACUGACACUGACACUGAGGUGCGAAAGCGUGGGUAGCAAACAGGAUUAGAUACCCUUGUAGUC